This 329-nucleotide long non-coding RNA is filed under the name Carica papaya (papaya). RNAcentral's name for it is "long non-coding RNA (CPAP_LNC004030)". Lineage: Eukaryota; Viridiplantae; Streptophyta; Magnoliopsida; Brassicales; Caricaceae. The record is from RNAcentral.
GACCCCUAUGGAUCCCCACGUAUACUAGUAGGCUGGUAAAAGAGGAAAAAUAUGUUGUGUAAUGAUUGAAUUACAAAAGGCGUGAUAAGUAUUAUGUUAUACAGUUUAUAUGAUUUCAUGAUGAUGAUAAUGUUAUUGCUUUCGUAUAUUGUUUUAUGAAUUUCACGAGGUAAGUGGAUGGUAAAGGUUUUAUUAUUGAUAAAAGGAUUUGUUGUAAAUUAUGCUCCAUUGGUCUUUUUGUGUUUUCUACCCACCUUUACUUCCGUGACGGUGAGAUAUCGUGAUGUCUUUACUGGGCUAGUGUAGCUCAUUCCUUAUUUAAUCAUUUC